This 455-nucleotide ribosomal RNA is filed under the name uncultured Bacillota bacterium. RNAcentral's name for it is "bacterial SSU rRNA". It matches the Rfam family "Bacterial small subunit ribosomal RNA", at positions 925 to 1382 of the family's 1533-position model. The record is from RNAcentral. Lineage: Bacteria; Bacillati; Bacillota.
ACAAGCGGUGGAGCAUGUGGUUUAAUUCGAAGCAACGCGAAGAACCUUACCAGGUCUUGACAUCCUUUUGAAUGGUCUAGAGAUAGAUCAGGCCUUCGGGACAGAAGAGACAGGUGGUGCAUGGUUGUCGUCAGCUCGUGUCGUGAGAUGUUGGGUUAAGUCCCGCAACGAGCGCAACCCUUAUCAUUAGUUGCUAACAUUCAGUUGAGAACUCUAAUGAGACUGCCAGUGAUAAACUGGAGGAAGGUGGGAUGACGUCAAAUCAUCAUGCCCCUUAUGACCUGGGCUACACACGUGCUACAAUGGCCGGUACAAAGAGUUGCGAAACUGUGAAGUUAAGCUAAUCUCAUAAAGCCGGUCUCAGUUCGGAUUGUAGUCUGCAACUCGACUACAUGAAGUCGGAAUCGCUAGUAAUCGCGAAUCAGAAUGUCGCGGUGAAUACGUUCUCGAGUCUU